RNAcentral lists this transfer RNA (76 nucleotides) under bacterium. RNAcentral describes it as "tRNA-Arg". It matches the Rfam family "tRNA". From Rfam's summary of the family: Transfer RNA (tRNA) molecules are approximately 80 nucleotides in length. The record is from RNAcentral.
GUGCCCGUGGCUUAAUGGAUAGAGCAGAUGGCUACGGACCAUCAGGUUGGGGGUUCGAGUCCCUCCGGGCAUACCA